Molecule: long non-coding RNA, 1541 nt
Organism: Quercus lobata
Lineage: Eukaryota; Viridiplantae; Streptophyta; Magnoliopsida; Fagales; Fagaceae
Exons: 2
Source: RefSeq, a predicted model, not a curated record
UUAGUAGUUUCAGAGCAAACGAAACCGAUCUAGCCCAAACGAAAAUGAAAGCCCUUUCGGACUCUUCUCUGUAUGGUCCUUAUCAAGCUCUUUCCUCUUCUAAUCCAUUGCUUAAAGUUUCAUUCACGGGUAUAGCCAUCUGUAAAGGCAUAAACGAGGUGCUUUGUUGACGCCCAUGCUGAUGAUGGUUUACGAGAAAUAUUUGGCCUAAAGCAAGGGUGGCAUUCAUCUUUUGUUAUGGUUGAACUCUGCCAAACACUGCAGUAUCAAAAGAUGACCUGAGAGGUAUGUUGUUCCUCCAACAAGGAUGAUAUUGCUUUCUCCAAGAUUCAAGCAAUGAAUGGGUGAGUCCACUUUCCCUUUCUGUUGGUUAGACGAAAUUUCUAGAUUUUCUUCUCCCACAAAAUUUUCUGCCAUAGGUAUUCUUAAUUGUUUAUUAUUUAAAUUUUUAUUUGUGUUUGCUUGCCUUUGAUUUCCUUUGAUAUUCAUGUUGAUCUCUUUGAUGAUUAUGGUUAGGAUUUGAUGGACUGAUGUGUCUUGAAUUAUUUUUGUACUGGGUAUUUUAGAAUUCAUGGCCAAUUGACUUUACAACCCUGGCUUAUUCCUUUUGUACUCCGAUUGUUUGAUAAAAUUCCCCAAUGAAAAGACUGUCAUUUUUAAAGAAUUUUGGUAUAGUCCUUCAUGAAAUAUGCUUAUUACCAUUAGAAAUGCUUGAUUUAAUUAUCAUAACUCAUUCUUGGACAAUGUUAUUGAUAGUGCUUAGACAUAUUGGAGUUCACCUGUUAUGUUUAUUAAUAACUGUAAAUUUCACUUAUGCUAUUUUGUAUUAAUCGUGUGAUGAAUAUAUAUAUAUAUAUAUAUAUUAUAUUCAUACAUUAUUUAGUUUUGAUAUUCAAUCAUUAUGCAAAAGAAGUUUAGACUUUAGAGAAGCAAAAUGAGCAGAGGUGGAGAGAGAGGUUUCACAACUACAAAAAUCUAGAAGGAUAUUUCAAUGGAUAGCUGAAAAGUAAGUCUGAUGAUGCUUUCAUUUGUGGAAACAAUUAUACUUUCUACAUUGAAGCCUUGCUGCCUAGCUUUCUUUUAGGAAUCCUUUGUUUUUACUUUUCGGUUUCAUCUAGCAAAGUGAAUUCGUUUUUAGAUUGCUUUAGUUUGAAAGAAACUACUUUUGGUACUUACAGAUUUACUCAAAUUUGACUUGGAGCCCAUGUAAAGUUGGAGUUAUGUACGAAUUUUAUGUGCUUAGUUUCUUGUUCUCAAGGAUUACUUACUUUAUACAUUUUAUUUAUUCAUUUUUCUUUAAAUUAGAUUAUCAACCACAUAGAAAAGUUACAAAAAUAAGACAUGGGCAAUGGCCACUAUGAACUAAGAGAGUUCAUAAGGUAUUUUUUAUUAUAGUUGAAGACAAGCAAAACUUAUUAUUACAAUUGUUCUCUACUUUGAAAUCGGAAUUGCAAUGGUGCCCAUAAAAAAAAUGUCAUGAGAACACUUAUUCUUGUAAUGUAUAUGAUUUUUGAGCUAAAAGAACGUCUCAUUUUAUUUUA